Molecule: RNA transcript, 1101 nt
Organism: Carica papaya (papaya)
Lineage: Eukaryota; Viridiplantae; Streptophyta; Magnoliopsida; Brassicales; Caricaceae
Gene: HEMD
Gene name: uroporphyrinogen-III synthase family protein
Source: RefSeq, a predicted model, not a curated record
UAGAUCCAUUUGGUAACAGCUGGAUCAUUCUUCUCUCAUCUGUGCCCAACACGUUUCCAUGGCACUCCCCUCUCUCUCCCCUCUUUCUUUCUUACUUCCUUCCCCCCAACUUCGCACGAAAUUUUUUUUUCCCUCUCGUCUUGGAAUUCGAGCGGCUUCCGCUUUGAAUUCGAAUCCCAAGGUCGUUGUGACUAGAGAACGAGGCAAGAAUGGAAAACUGGUCGAGGCUCUGGCCAAGCAUGGGAUAACCUGUUUGGAACUUCCCCUAAUUCAGCAUGCACAGGGUCCUGAUUUGCAUCGGCUUUCUUCCGUAUUAAAUGCAGAUACUGCAUUUGACUGGAUUAUCAUAACAUCCCCUGAAGCGGGGACAGUUUUUCUGGAAGCAUGGAAGGCAGCUGGAACCCCAAAUGUUAAGGUUGGUGUCGUGGGAGCUGGUACAGCAUGCAUUUUUGAGGAAGUAAUGCAAUCAAGGCAAUCACUUGAUCUGGCCUUUGUCCCAUCAAAAGCAACAGGUCAAGUUUUGGCUUCAGAGCUUCCAAAGAAAGGGAAUAAAAGAUGCACUGUUCUAUAUCCUGCUUCUCUGAAAGCAAGUAAUGAGAUUGAGGAAGGUCUAUCAACUCGUGGAUUUGAGGUUGUCAGGCUUAACACAUAUACAACUGUUCCUGUUCAUCAUGUGGAUCAGAUAGUUUUUCAGGAGGCACUUUCUGUACCUGUUGUUGCAGUUGCUUCACCUUCUGCAGUCCGGGCUUGGUUCAAGCUUAUUUCAGCAUCAAAGGGAUGGAACAAUUCAGUUGCCUGUAUUGGCGAGACAACUGCUUCAGCUGCAAAAAGAUUAGGGUUGAAAAAUGUGUACUACCCAAUGCAACCUGGUUUUGAAGGGUGGGUUGCUAGCAUUCUUGAAGCCUUAAGAGCACAUGACCAGUUGUAGGAGCUGAAAUAAUUCAAGUAGCCUUUUGUCCUCCCUACCAUUCACUUUAAAAGUUGGUAGGAUGAUGAAGUGCUAAAAGGUGCAAGAAUGAGUUCGUGCUAGAAAUGCAGAAGAUAUGGUGAUACUCUGCCUCAAAAAGCUGCAAUAAGAGGGAAAUACUCGACUCAGCAAAA